Molecule: long non-coding RNA, 3544 nt
Filed under: Mus musculus (house mouse)
Lineage: Eukaryota; Metazoa; Chordata; Mammalia; Rodentia; Muridae
Description: RIKEN cDNA B930036N10 gene
Rfam family: U5 spliceosomal RNA (bases 949-1064)
Source: RNAcentral
GACGUGACAAGCUGGAUGUCCAUAGGGCGGCCAUCCAAAGGGACGCCCUUGUACUGCUUCAUAGCCUUCAGGGCAUCUGCCCUCCGUUCAAAGUGUACAUCCGCCGUCCCUAAACUUCGUCCAGAGCGAUCGUAGUCCACAGCGGCUUUUUUCAACGUUCCAAAUUCAGCAAAGAGUUCCUGAAUGUCAGCAUCUGACACCCCGAAGUCCAGGUUUGACACGAGCAGCUUGGCACCGGUCUCCACGCCUUCCCCACCCCCGCAGCCGCUGUCGAAUAGGUCGUGCUGCCACUUGUCCGGAAGUGGUUUCGGUCUACUGUACGGUGCCGGCCGGUUCCUGCCGCCGCGGGCGAUGGCGGGCCGGUUCCUCCUAGGCCCGCCGCCUCGAUUCACCCGGCGCUGGUUACGGUUCAGCUUAAUGAUGUCGUCCAAAGACAUGUCCAUCUUGUCGGCCAUGGCGGGCGCGGAUCCGGGCCUGACUGGCCCGGCCCUCGCGGUGCAGACCAGAAAGUACUCAAAUUCAAUGAUUCCCCCGCCUUGACUCCGCCUCUCCGACCGGUGCUGGAAUCACAAGCGCACCAAAAUCACACUUGGAAAUUGGAAGUCUGUGCGCUUGUGAAUCUGGCUUUCGCUCUGACCCCUGGUGGCCGCCCAGCGCCUAGAGACAUCUGGGACAAAUUCGAGGCACUUCCGGAAACCGAGCGGGCCACGCGGCUUCUCCGCGAUAUUUGCAUACCCACAAUGCAGUGCACACAGAUGGUUGUAUAAUUUAAAAGGGUAGCGUGUUGUUUUCGUUGUUCUGUUUUAUUCCUUUUAUUCCUUAAUGUGAUAGAACCUUCAAAGAUUUAUCUGAUAUAAUAAAGUAGUCAGUGUCUUUAGGAGUAAAUAGUCACCAUUAGUUGUCUAGGAAAUACAGUCGGCCGAGAACUGUACACUAGGACAGCUGGGUAUACUCUGGUUUCUCUUCAGAUCGUAUAAAUCUUUCGCCUUUUACUAAAGAUUUCCGUGGAGAGGAACAAUUCUGAGUCUUACACUAAUUUUUUGAGGCCUUGCUUUAGCAAGGCUAUUAAUAAUGUUUAAAGUUAGAAUUAACAGUCUUUAUUGUGUGCUCUAUGUAUUUUUUUGUCUUCAGUGUUAACCAAAGUUAGAAUUAACAGUCUUUAUUGUGUGCUCUAUGUAUUUUCUUGUCUUCAGUGUUAACCACUGUAAGGUAAAAAUGGCUUGAGCUUAGGCUAAAGAGACAGCUCAUUGGUUAAAAGGGCUCAGUCGCAUGGCGUUGUGUCUCAUAACCGAUAAAGUAAAUAAGCCUUUAAAAGCAAAUACUAAGUUUUUGUGGGAAGUCUGUAGACAUGUUAUUUAUUAAGCUGUUUUUUAUCUAGCUGCGUUAUGUUGUGGUCUCAGUGAACAUAUGUAUAAACCAUUAUUUUUAAUAUUUUAUUUAAGUGCAAGGUGGUUAUGGACUUAAGGCACGUACAAUUUUCUAGCAAGAUGGCUAACCCAGCUCUGUAGCUGAGGAAGAACUAGCGCCCCCUUCUGACUUCCAUCAGUGCCAAGCAACGCUCAGAUACGCAGGCAAAAUAUUCAUACAAAUAAAGGCAGAUACAUUCUAAAAAAUAAAUGCAGCCACUCGAGCAGAAGGGACAGGUUACCCUCAGAGCUGUGGGAGGGGCUAGACUAUGAUGCAAUUCCCCAUCUCCCCCCAGUCCCUCCCCCCCCAAAAAAAUGAAAACUACUCUCCCACCCAAGACCUUUCCCUUAAGGACAGAGACUGUCCCUUUGAAAUACCUCAGUCUCCUUAUAGCUAAAAUACCUCAGUAAUAAGAACAGGUAACAAGGGGGCUGGAGAGAUGGCUCAGUGGUUAAGAGCACCGACUGCUCUUCCGAAGGUCCGAAGUUCAAAUCAGCAACCACAUGGUGGCUCACAACCAUCCGUAAUGAGAUCUGACUCCCUCUUCUGGUGUGUCUGAAGACAGCUACAGUGUACUUAGAUAUAAUAAUAAAUAAAUCUUAAAAAAAAAAAAAAAGAACAGGUAACAAAGUGGCAGGAACUUCAAACACAGAAUGCCCUCGGUCUGCUUGGCAAAGCAUCUUUGGCUCUGCCCACCAAAGUACACUGGAAAGGAAGUUGAACUUUCUCUCUUCCUGGAACAGACUUGAAAUCAUGGAAAGGCUCUUGGAUGUCUCCUGGAUGGGCUACUGCACUGACCAGUUCAUUGCCUGCUUCACGCCUCACUUCUGUUUCUACAAAAUUCCCUGGGAUAAACGCUCCACAGUGCCCCACCUGGGGCCUACUUCUGCUGGAUAGGAGCUCCCACAACUCCCACCUGUAACCCUAUAACAAAUCUCCCUUCUAACCUCUCGGAAAUUCCUUCUCUGCUUUGCAAAACAAAGGACCUGAAAGCCAACGGUUUGGGUGCCUCUAGUGGCCAUUGGAUAGCCUGACACCUUAACACUCCAAGCUAUCCAUGACUGAAGCAAGAAAGUUUCCAAAGAUACUUUCCCACUUUUCUUUAUCAUCCUCAGUGUCAUCAAUAGGUGAGGGCGGGAGUAUAGGGAGUUCACGGUCCAGCCUGGGAUACCUGCCUAAAGAAAACAAUAAAAUAAAGAAACAGGAUGGACAUACCAUGGAUAGCCGAACAUGUCCAGCAGAGAACAAAAGAGUGUUCAUAAUUGCAUCAGUUGCUUUCCUGUUGCUGUGAUAACAAAACCAAAGAAAAGUUCAUUUUGGCUAGGAACCCAGAGAGAGAAUCCAUAACAGUAGGGGGAGGCAUAGCAACAGGGGGAUGGAGCAGAAAGCAGAUCACAUCUUCACCUUUAAACACAAUGCAGAGAGAAUAAACCGGAAGCAAGGAAAGGCUAUAAACUCUCAGAGCCCACCACCCCCCAAUCGACAUCCUUCUGCCAACACAGUCAGACCUAAAGGUUCCGUAUCAGUCCCCUACCCAGCACCACUAACUAGAGAUCAAGUGUUCACUCACCCAAGCUCACCAGGGACAUUUCUCCUUCAACCCACCACAAUAAUGGAAUUUGAUUCUUCUGUGGAUAAUUGUAGGCUUGGGUUGACCUCUAAGGGUUGUUUUAAGGUUUACAAAUUCAUGAUAACACAUGGAGAACAUGUUAGAUACAUAUUUAGUUUUUUAAGUGUUGGCCUCACUGUCUGCUCCUGAUCCAUGGAUAAAAUAUAAUUGAAGGAAAACCAAAGCAAGACUUCUUGCUUGGGAGAAGAGUGGUCAGAUGUAAGGAACACUGUAGGUCAGAGAACACCACCGCUAACCCAAGGUCCAUUCUAUACAUUUUAGGUAGGAUUUCUGUUGCUAUGAUAAAACGCCAUUAGUCAGGAUUCUCUAGAGACGCAGGAAUCACAGGAUGUCUCUAUAUAUUAAGGGAAUUUGUUGUGAUAACAACGGGCAGCUGUGAAUGGGAAGUCCAAGCAUCUAGUAGUUGCCACGAGGCUAGUUAUUUAAGCUGGUCUUCUGUAGAAGUAGGUUUCAACAGACGUACUGGCAAGAGCAAGCAGUUGAAGAAGAGUGAAUCUUCCCUCUUCC